This 305-nucleotide ribosomal RNA is filed under the name uncultured bacterium. RNAcentral's name for it is "bacterial SSU rRNA". It matches the Rfam family "Bacterial small subunit ribosomal RNA", at positions 335 to 657 of the family's 1533-position model. The record is from RNAcentral.
UUUCCUACGGGAGGCAGCAGUGGGGAAUAUUGCACAAUGGGGGAAACCCUGAUGCAGCGACGCCGCGUGAGUGAAGAAGUAUUUUGGUAUGUAAAGCUCUAUCAGCAGGGAAGAAAAUGACGGUACCUGACUAAGAAGCCCCGGCUAACUAUGUGCCAGCAGCCGCGGUAAUACAUAGGGGGCAAGCGUUAUCCGGAAUUAUUGGGUGUAAAGGGUGCGUAGACGGAGGAACAAGUUGGUUGUGAAAUCCCUCGGCUCAACUGAGGAACUGCAACCAAAACUAUUCUCCUUGAGUGUCGGAGAGG